Molecule: long non-coding RNA, 262 nt
Filed under: Vigna radiata
Lineage: Eukaryota; Viridiplantae; Streptophyta; Magnoliopsida; Fabales; Fabaceae
Description: long non-coding RNA (VRAD_LNC006198)
Source: RNAcentral
UAUAAGACCAAACUCUGAUGUUGUUAGGGGUAAGGGAAGAUAUAGUUGUGGUAGAUUUCCUUGGAACUUCUUGAGUAAGGAAAUAUGAAACAUAAGAUGGAUUUUAGUUGUGUUAAGUAAUUGUAAUCUAUAAGCAACAACUCUUAUCUUUUCCACAACCUCAAACGACCCAAAAAACUUGAGUCCCAAUUUUUUAUUUUUUCAUAAGGCCAAGGAUUGUUGCCUAUAUGGUUGCACCUUAACCAAUGCUAGAUCACCCACC